ACUGCGGUGGUGUAAUGGUUAGCAUUUCUGCCUAGGAAGCAAGAAGACCCGGUUUCAAGUCCCGGCUGCAGCA
Schistocerca nitens (vagrant locust) is the source of this 73-nucleotide non-coding RNA. The record is from the annotation of a RefSeq genome assembly. NCBI's taxonomy places the organism in Eukaryota, Metazoa, Arthropoda, Insecta, Orthoptera, Acrididae.